This 289-nucleotide long non-coding RNA is filed under the name Numida meleagris (helmeted guineafowl). Its description in RNAcentral is "lncRNA (ENSNMEG00000016784.1)". Lineage: Eukaryota; Metazoa; Chordata; Aves; Galliformes; Numididae. The record is from RNAcentral.
CCGCGCAGCGGGGGGUGCGACCCGAGCGCGGUCUGUAUGCGCUCGCGUCGCUCGGUGAGCUCAGCGAGACCAGUUUAAGCAGUGCUGCAGAGGAGAAGAUCAUGGAUGCAAGAAGAUGCCUCAUUUCAGAACACCCAAACAUGAAGAUUUUAUGAACGUCAUUGGGGAUCCUUUGCUGGAGCUGUUGUGUGCUGCCCGCUGCAGCGCAGCCCUCUGUGACCCCUUGCCUCCAAGGAUGGAAUCUGAGAGCUGGCGUGCAGGAGGAAUGGAUCUCGUCUGUCUGCUGUGA